Molecule: ribosomal RNA, 253 nt
Filed under: uncultured bacterium
Lineage: Bacteria
Description: partial 16S ribosomal RNA
Rfam family: Bacterial small subunit ribosomal RNA
Source: RNAcentral
CACGUAGGGCGCAAGCGUUGUCCGGAAUUAUUGGGCGUAAAGAGCUCGUAGGCGGUUUGUCGCGUCGACUGUGAAAACCUGGGGCUUAACUCUGGGCCUGCAGUCGAUACGGGCAGACUUGAGUUCGGUAGGGGAGACUGGAAUUCCCGGUGUAGCGGUGAAAUGCGCAGAUAUCGGGAGGAACACCUAUGGCGAAGGCAGCUCGCUGGGACGUUACUGACGCUGAGACGCGAAAGCGUGGGGAGCAAACAGG